UCCCCAACGGGAGCACGGGGGCGGGCCGCCACCCGCGGCGGGGCUCCGUUCGCGCUGGGCCGCCUCCCACGGCUCGCAGGCGUUCGCGGUGGCUACACCCGGUCUGCCCGGGCUUCCUAAAUACGAGAGGGAACCCGGCGAACGCCCUCCAGCCUGCCCUCCUCUGGGUCGCGCAGCCCAGCCGGGGCGAGACUCAGAUCUGAGAUGCCGUUCCAGAGAAGCUUUGGGAGUAGUGAACGACUGAGACCUGCCGCCCUGCUUUCCGAAACAUUACCGUUCCGGGAAGGUUACUGUGACCUAAGCUGUUGAAACCCACAGCAUGUUAUCAUUCUCCUUCAUGCAGAAGCCUGAAGAGGAAAUCAGGAAUUCCCAGAACUUUGAAACUCUGUUAAACUCUCUCUGAUUUCUCUGCUAUACAAUAAGCUUAUUAAGUCUUGUCAGUAAAAGCUUGCUGCUGUUCAAA
Pogoniulus pusillus (Red-fronted tinkerbird) is the source of this 463-nucleotide long non-coding RNA. RefSeq lists it as uncharacterized. The record is from RefSeq and is a predicted model, not a curated record. NCBI's taxonomy places the organism in Eukaryota, Metazoa, Chordata, Aves, Piciformes, Lybiidae. The transcript is spliced from 2 exons.